This 494-nucleotide ribosomal RNA is filed under the name uncultured bacterium. RNAcentral's name for it is "partial 16S ribosomal RNA". It matches the Rfam family "Bacterial small subunit ribosomal RNA", at positions 29 to 505 of the family's 1533-position model. The record is from RNAcentral.
AUGAACGCUGGCGGCGUGCCUAAUACAUGCAAGUCGAGCGAACGGACGAGAAGCUUGCUUCUCUGAUGUUAGCGGCGGACGGGUGAGUAACACGUGGAUAACCUACCUAUAAGACUGGGAUAACUUCGGGAAACCGGAGCUAAUACCGGAUAAUAUUUUGAACCGCAUGGUUCAAAAGUAAAAGACGGUCUUGCUGUCACUUAUAGAUGGAUCCGCGCUGCAUUAGCUAGUUGGUAAGGUAACGGCUUACCAAGGCAACGAUGCAUAGCCGACCUGAGAGGGUGAUCGGCCACACUGGAACUGAGACACGGUCCAGACUCCGACGGGAGGCAGCAGUAGGGAAUCUUCCGCAAUGGGCGAAAGCCUGACGGAGCAACGCCGCGUGAGUGAUGAAGGUCUUCGGAUCGUAAAACUCUGUUAUUAGGGAAGAACAUAUGUGUAAGUAACUGUGCACAUCUUGACGGUACCUAAUCAGAAAGCCACGGCUAACUACG